UUUUUGGUGAGAGUAAAAAGUAGGGUCUGCCCAGUGAGUAAUUUUAACGGCCGCAAUAUUUGUGCGAAGGUAGCAUAAUCAUUUGUCUUUUAAUUGAUGACUGGAAUGAAUGGCUGGACGGGGAUAAGCUGUCUUAUGUAUAUAUAUUUGAAAUUUACUUUUAAGUAAAAAGGCUUAAAUAUUUUAGAGGGACGAGAAGACCCUAUUGAGUUUAAUAGAAUUUAUUUAAAUUUUUCUUAAAUUUUUAUGUAAUCUAUUUAGUUGGGGAGAUUUGAUAUUAUUAACUAUAUAAGAAUUAAUAGACUUUAAGUUUUUAGGAUCCAUAUUUUAUGAGUGUUAAGGUAAAUUACCUUAGGGAUAACAGCGUAAUAUUUUUUUAGAGUUCAAAUCGAUUAAAAUGAUUACGACCUCGAUGUUGGAUUAAGGAACCUAAUUUGGAGAAGAUUUUAAUUUAGGUAGUCU
This 462-nucleotide ribosomal RNA is filed under the name Nymphon australe. Its description in RNAcentral is "partial 16S ribosomal RNA". Lineage: Eukaryota; Metazoa; Arthropoda; Pycnogonida; Pantopoda; Nymphonidae. The record is from RNAcentral.